This is a small nucleolar RNA of Acomys russatus (golden spiny mouse), 144 nucleotides long. RefSeq annotates it as small nucleolar RNA SNORA48. The transcript has a single exon. Lineage: Eukaryota; Metazoa; Chordata; Mammalia; Rodentia; Muridae. The record is from RefSeq and is a predicted model, not a curated record.
CACCCCUGGUAGUGAACAAAGAGAUACCUUGUUAGUGGUAUGGUUCUUAUGUCAGCUAGGGCCAGAGCACAUGGCAGUCCUUUGUUCAUCCUAGCUUAAUGCUUAUCUUGAUGGCCAAAGCUGUCUUAUGCCUGGGACUCAUAA